Molecule: ribosomal RNA, 1609 nt
Filed under: Dendroperdix sephaena (crested francolin)
Lineage: Eukaryota; Metazoa; Chordata; Aves; Galliformes; Phasianidae
Description: 16S ribosomal RNA
Rfam family: Bacterial large subunit ribosomal RNA
Source: RNAcentral
CUUGCCCUCCCUCUAGCCCAACCAACCCCUAUCUCUAAUAUAAAAAAUCAACUAACCUGCUUAACCAAAACAUUAUAUUCGUCCUAGUAUAGGCGAUAGAAAAGACCUCAGGCGCAAUAGAGGCCAACUGUACCGCAAGGGAAAGAUGAAAUAAUAAUGAAAACCACAAGCAAAGGAUAGUAAAGACUAACCCUUGUACCUCUUGCAUCAUGAUUUAGCAAGAACAACCAAGCAAAGCGAACUAAAGUUUGCCUCCCCGAAACCUAAGCGAGCUACUUGUAAGCAGCUAGAACUGAGCGAACCCAUCUCUGUUGCAAAAGAGUGGGAUGACUUACUAGUAGAGGUGAAAAGCCCAUCGAGCUAGGUGAUAGCUGGUUACCUGCCAAACGAAUCUAAGUUCCCCCUUAACCCGCCCCCUAAAGACCCAACCAACCUUACAUACGUUGGGGUUAAGAGCAAUUCAAUGGGGGUACAGCCCCAUCGAAAAAGAACACAACCUCCUCUAGCGGAUAAUAACCACCCCUACUAUACUGUGGGCCUUCAAGCAGCCACCAACAAAAGAGUGCGUCAAAGCUCCCCCAUUAAAAAUCCAAAACCCCAUUUGAUUCCCUCAACCAAAGCAGGUUAAUCUAUGAUAAUAGAAGAGUCAAUGCUAAAAUGAGUAACCUGGAAUCCUCCUCCACAUAGCGCAAGCUUACAUUAACACAUUAUUAACAGAACCUAACUUAUAUUCCCACCCAACAAGCAAUGCAUAUAAGCCCACCUGUUAGCCCAACCCAGGAGCGCCAGAUAAGAUGAUUAAAACCUGCAGAAGGAACUCGGCAAAUCAAAGACCCGACUGUUUACCAAAAACAUAGCCUUCAGCUAACAACAAGUAUUGAAGGUGAUGCCUGCCCAGUGACGCCUAACGUUUAACGGCCGCGGUAUCCUAACCGUGCGAAGGUAGCGCAAUCAAUUGUCCCAUAAAUCGAGACUUGUAUGAAUGGCUAAACGAGGUCUUAACUGUCUCCUGCAAGUAAUCAGUGAAAUUAGUACUCUCGUGCAAAAACGAGAAUGUGACCAUAAGACGAGAAGACCCUGUGGAACUUUAAAAUCACGACCACCUCCCCACUCACUUCCUUUCCCCCCAUUGGACCUACCCGCACAAAGUCAUUGGUCGAUAUUUUUUGGUUGGGGCGACCUUGGAGAAAAGAAAAUCCUCCAAACCUACAGACCACAACUCUUCACUAAGACCAACCCUUCAAAGUACAAAUAGUAACUAGACCCAAUACAAUUGAUCAAUGGACCAAGCUACCCCAGGGAUAACAGCGCAAUCUCCUCCAAGAGCCCAUAUCGACAAGGAGGUUUACGACCUCGAUGUUGGAUCAGGACAACCUAAUGGUGCAGCCGCUAUUAAGGGUUCGUUUGUUCAACGAUUAACAGUCCUACGUGAUCUGAGUUCAGACCGGAGCAAUCCAGGUCGGUUUCUAUCUAUGAACAUACUCCUCCUAGUACGAAAGGACCGGAGAAGUGGGGUCAAUACUAUAAGCACACCCCAACUUUCUAAGCAAUGAAUUCAACUCAAUUGCCAAAAAUACCCCCCGCACCCACAUUCCUAGAAAAGGACCCA